Molecule: non-coding RNA, 486 nt
Organism: Taeniopygia guttata (zebra finch)
Lineage: Eukaryota; Metazoa; Chordata; Aves; Passeriformes; Estrildidae
Source: RefSeq, a predicted model, not a curated record
AGCCAGCUUCCACAGGGACCUCCUGCAGCUUUCAUUGAGAAGCUCCAGGCUGGCAGCAUCCAGAAUCUUGGAAACUGACUGUGGGAGGGAGACAGCAACAAUUACCAACUCCUUACAACACACCAUUCAAAAUCAGGAGAUCAGAACUCAAAGACCCAGAACAGUUGUGUAAUUUCACCAUAAAAACUGCAUCGAGCCAAGGGAGACUCCUCAGAUGGCACUUGGGGGUUUUUGUCCUGGUUGGUAACACAGGAAACCUGUUCACACACCUUUCAAAACUGCUCCCAACAAGAGCUUGCAACAGCACUUCCCCCAUGGGGCAGGACUCACCCUGUCGGCCGUGGCAUUGCUGAUGAUCAUCUCCUGGACACUGUUGUAGUAUUUUGGGGAACACAGCUUGCCAGGAGCCACGUUCACAGCCACCGAGAGAGCCAGGCUCCGCCCGUGCCUCACCAUCCAGUCAAUGCCAGAGACAUCUGCUGCAGA